This is a long non-coding RNA of Portunus trituberculatus (swimming crab), 358 nucleotides long. RefSeq lists it as uncharacterized. Lineage: Eukaryota; Metazoa; Arthropoda; Malacostraca; Decapoda; Portunidae. The record is from RefSeq and is a predicted model, not a curated record. The transcript is spliced from 2 exons.
CGUAAGUGACGUGAGGUCAGCGACUGUGCGUGGUUCAGAUUCUUAGCAGCCCUCGUGUUGAGAACAGCUGGUGCCAGGAAACUGGCUCGUGUUGCACUGGGAAGUUAGAUGCCAUCUUCAGCCGCGCAUCACCUUCCAGGAAGGGACCCUGCCUCGCACCUUACUCUCUCCUGCCAUCCAAGAAGGGAGAGACGUCUGCUUGUAUCGUCCUGCCGACACGAGCUACUGUCCAGGGAAGGAAGAAAGACUUGUUCCUCGCACCUGUACUCUUCCUGACAACACUGCUGCUUAUGUCAUUUCUUCGUUGUCCUGUUAAUGUACCUGUUGAUAAUUUACUACAAUAAAUCAUGUAAUGGAC